AGGAUGAUCAGCCACACUGGCACUGGAACACGGGCCAGACUCCUACGGGAGGCAGCAGUGAGGAAUUUUGCGCAAUGGCCGCANNNUGGACGCAGCAACGCCGCGUGGGUGAAGAAGGCCUUCGGGUCGUAAAGCCCUGUCAGGUGGGAAGAACGGCCGGGGGACGAAUAGUCUUCCGGAUUGACGGUACCACCAGAGGAAGCACCGGCUAACUCCGUGCCAGCAGCCGCGGUAAUACGGAGGGUGCGAGCGUUAUUCGGAAUUACUGGGCGUAAAGCGCGUGCAGGCGGGCCGAAAAGUCUGAUGUGAAAGCCCCGGGCUCAACCUGGGAAGUGCAUUGGAAACUGUUGGUCUUGAGUUCUGGAGAGGAAGGGGGAAUUCCCGGUGUAGAGGUGAAAUUCGUAGAGAUCGGGAGGAAUACCAGUGGCGAAGGCGCCCUUCUGGACGGCAACUGACGCUGAGACGUGAAAGCGUGGGGUGCAAACAGGAUUAGAUACCCUGGUAGUCCACGCUGUAAACGAUGGGCACUAGGUGUAGCGGGUACUCAUUCCUGCUGUGCCGCAGCUAACGCGUUAAGUGCUCCGCCUGGGGAUUACGGUCGCAAGACUAAAACUCAAAGGAAUUGACGGGGGCCCGCACAAGCGGUGGAGUAUGUGGUUUAAUUCGACGCAACGCGAAGAACCUUACCUGGGCUUGACAUUCCCGGCCAGCCGUGGAAACACGGUUUUCCCCUUCGGGGGACCGGGAGACAGGUGCUGCAUGGCUGUCGUCAGCUCGUGUCGUGAGAUGUUGGGUUAAGUCCCGCAACGAGCGCAACCCUUGCCCUUAGUUGCCAGCGAGUCAAGUCGGGCACUCUAGGGGGACUGCCGCAGUGAAUGCGGAGGAAGGUGGGGAUGACGUCAAGUCCUCAUGGCCUUUAUGCCCAGGGCUACACACGUACUACAAUGGGCGGUACAAAGGGAAGCGAGGCAGCGAUGCGGAGCAAAUCCCAAAAAGCCGUUCACAGUUCGGAUCGGAGUCUGCAACUCGACUCCGUGAAGUUGGAAUCGCUAGUAAUCGCGGAUCAGCAUGCCGCGGUGAAUACGUUCCCGGGCCUUGUACACACCGCCCGUCACACCACGAAAGUCGGCUGU
RNAcentral lists this ribosomal RNA (1133 nucleotides) under uncultured Syntrophobacteraceae bacterium. RNAcentral describes it as "bacterial SSU rRNA". It matches the Rfam family "Bacterial small subunit ribosomal RNA", at positions 297 to 1418 of the family's 1533-position model. The record is from RNAcentral. Lineage: Bacteria; Pseudomonadati; Thermodesulfobacteriota; Syntrophobacteria; Syntrophobacterales; Syntrophobacteraceae.